CGGGACGGGUGAGUAAUGUCUGGGAAACUGCCUGAUGGAGGGGGAUAACUGCUGGAAACGGUGGCUAAUACCGCAUAACGUCGCAAGACCAAAGAGGGGGACCUUCGGGCCUCUUGCCAUCGGAUGUGCCCAGAUGGGAUUAGCUAGUAGGUGGGGUAACGGCUCACCUAGGCGACGAUCCCUAGCUGGUCUGAGAGGAUGGCCAGCCACACUGGAACUGAGACACGGUCCGG
Molecule: ribosomal RNA, 233 nt
Filed under: uncultured bacterium
Lineage: Bacteria
Description: partial 16S ribosomal RNA
Rfam family: Bacterial small subunit ribosomal RNA
Source: RNAcentral